Molecule: unclassified non-coding RNA, 288 nt
Filed under: Hevea brasiliensis (rubber tree)
Lineage: Eukaryota; Viridiplantae; Streptophyta; Magnoliopsida; Malpighiales; Euphorbiaceae
Source: RNAcentral
UUUAUCAAGCAGCAAGCCACCAAAAGAUGCACAUAAGCUUUCCCAAUUUAUACUAUAUCAAAAACUUAUUUUGCUUCUAACUAACAAACUUCAUUUGCAUUCACAGUUCACACCUUGCAACAUUAGUUUCUACGGUAGGAUUUUUAUGCAAAAAUUAAAUAGUUAUCAGCAAUACUCUCCACACCAUGCACAUAUAAUACACCUGUCACACCUGUAUAGAUAUUACCAUUCAAAACCACUAAAUGUACCAAUACAAACCAUUCAAAACCACUAAAUGUACCAAUACAA